Molecule: ribosomal RNA, 449 nt
Filed under: uncultured bacterium
Lineage: Bacteria
Description: bacterial SSU rRNA
Rfam family: Bacterial small subunit ribosomal RNA
Source: RNAcentral
GCUCCAGACUCCUACGGGAGGCAGCAGUGGGGAAUAUUGCACAAUGGGGGAAACCCUGAUGCAGCGACGCCGCGUGAAGGAUGAAGUAUUUCGGUCUGUAAACUUCUAUCAGCAGGGAAGAAAAUGACGGUACCUGACUAAGAAGCCCCGGCUAACUACGUGCCAGCAGCCGCGGUAAUACGUAGGGGGCAAGCGUUAUCCGGAUUUACUGGGUGUAAAGGGAGCGUAGACGGCAGUGCAAGUCUGGAGUGAAAGGCGGGGGCUCAACCCCCGGACUGCUCUGGAAACUGUGCGGCUGGAGUGCAGGAGAGGUAAGUGGAAUUCCUAGUGUAGCGGUGAAAUGCGUAGAUAUUAGGAGGAACACCAGUGGCGAAGGCGGCUUACUGGACUGUAACUGACGUUGAGGCUCGAAAGCGUGGGGAGCAAACAGGAUUAGAUACCCCUGUACA